GAGAGUAGGCGUUGGCGGUUGCAGACCAGUUAGCUUAACUGAUUUGAGGAAAGUCCGGACUCCCGAAAGACCAGACUUGCUGGAUAACGUCCAGUGCGAGCGAUCGUGAGGAUAGUGCCACAGAAAAAUACCGCCAAGAUUGGGGACUGGGGACUAGGGGUUGGGGACUGGGGAAGAAACUUCCCAAUCCCUAAUCCCCCAUACCCAAUACCCAACUCUUGGUAAGGGUGCAAAGGUGCGGUAAGAGCGCACCAGCAGUAUCGAGAGGUACUGGCUCGGUAAACCCCGGUUGGGAGCAAGGCCGAAGGAACUAUGGUUGGUCUUUUACCAGUUCCGCUAUCAGAGAGCCGCUAGAGGCGUUUGGUAACAAACGUCCCAGAUAGAUAAUCGCCCUCGUGUAAAGCAAUUUACACAGAGAACAGAACCCGGCUUACCACCAACUCUCUCCU
Molecule: RNase P RNA, 449 nt
Filed under: Nostoc sp. PCC 7120 = FACHB-418
Lineage: Bacteria; Bacillati; Cyanobacteriota; Cyanophyceae; Nostocales; Nostocaceae
Also listed under: 6 other names
Description: Nostoc sp. PCC 7120 Bacterial RNase P class A
Rfam family: Bacterial RNase P class A
About the family: Ribonuclease P (RNase P) is a ubiquitous endoribonuclease, found in archaea, bacteria and eukarya as well as chloroplasts and mitochondria. Its best characterised activity is the generation of mature 5'-ends of tRNAs by cleaving the 5'-leader elements of precursor-tRNAs. Cellular RNase Ps are ribonucleoproteins.
Source: Rfam by way of RNAcentral